AUGGCUUCAUCCGGUUCCAUGACGAGGCUGCGGUGCGCUAACCAAGAGGACAUGCCGAACAAGUGGGAGGAGGCAAGGUUGGACAAGACGAAGGAGAAGGAUGUGAAAACCCCUUCAUGUUGGUAUGCAGGUGAGUGCAAGGUGAAGGUCUCCACUGACCGGAAGAAGUCAUGGACGGAAGGAAGAAGAUAUUUUGUGUGUCCCAACUAUGUACAUGAUCGCGCACGUCCCACUAACGCCUAUGACAUCCCACCGGUAUGUUAG
This 264-nucleotide ribosomal RNA is filed under the name Triticum aestivum (bread wheat). Its description in RNAcentral is "partial small subunit ribosomal RNA". The record is from RNAcentral. Lineage: Eukaryota; Viridiplantae; Streptophyta; Magnoliopsida; Poales; Poaceae.